AUGAAUUAAAUAGGAGGUAGUUGUUGCUGGCCUUCUUAAUGAGGGGGCAUGUGCACACUAUGUCUUUCAUUACCUUUCUCACCUGUGCACUAACUGUAGGUUCAGCCGGCUAGUUUUGGCUCGCAUGAACCUAUGUCUUCAUAUACAUCUUUGUGUAGAAAGUCUUUGAAUGUUUAUUAUCAGAGAGUUGCGACUUCUAGGAGUUGUGAAUCUUUGAGACAAAAGUUAUUA
Molecule: unclassified non-coding RNA, 231 nt
Filed under: uncultured fungus
Lineage: Eukaryota; Fungi
Also listed under: 1 other name
Description: sequence contains ITS1, 5.8S rRNA gene
Source: RNAcentral